RNAcentral lists this ribosomal RNA (514 nucleotides) under uncultured bacterium. Its description in RNAcentral is "partial 16S ribosomal RNA". It matches the Rfam family "Bacterial small subunit ribosomal RNA", at positions 28 to 523 of the family's 1533-position model. The record is from RNAcentral.
GAUGAACGCUGGCGGCGUGCCUAAUACAUGCAAGUCGAACGCACAGCGAAAGGUGCUUGCACCUUUCAAGUGAGUGGCGAACGGGUGAGUAACACGUGGACAACCUGCCUCAAGGCUGGGGAUAACAUUUGGAAACAGAUGCUAAUACCGAAUAAAACUUAGUGUCGCACGACACAAAGUUAAAAGGCGCUUCGGCGUCACCUAGAGAUGGAUCCGCGGUGCAUUAGUUAGUUGGUGGGGUAAAGGCCUACCAAGACAAUGAUGCAUAGCCGAGUUGAGAGACUGAUCGGCCACAUUGGGACUGAGACACGGCCCAAACUCCUACGGGAGGCUGCAGUAGGGAAUCUUCCACAAUGGGCGAAAGCCUGAUGGAGCAACGCCGUGUGUGUGAUGAAGGCUUUCGGGUCGUAAAGCACUGUUGUAUGGGAAGAACAGCUAGAAUAGGAAAUGAUUUUAGUUUGACGGUACCAUACCAGAAAGGGACGGCUAAAUACGUGCCAGCCGCCGCCUGUAA